GGGGAUUUAGCUCAGUGGUAGAGUGCUUGCCUAGGAAGCGCAAGGCCCUGGGUUCGGUCCCCAGCUCCCCCC
This 72-nucleotide transfer RNA is filed under the name Rattus norvegicus (Norway rat). It matches the Rfam family "tRNA". From Rfam's summary of the family: Transfer RNA (tRNA) molecules are approximately 80 nucleotides in length. Lineage: Eukaryota; Metazoa; Chordata; Mammalia; Rodentia; Muridae. The record is from Rfam by way of RNAcentral.